UACGUAGGUGGCAAGCGUUGUCCGGAAUUAUUGGGCGUAAAGGGUGCGUAGGUGGUGAGAAAAGUCUGAUGUGAAAUCUCCAGGCUCAACCCGGAAAUGGCAUUGGAAACUAACUUGCUCGAGGAUUGGAGGGGGGACUGGAAUACUUGGUGUAGCAGUGAAAUGCGUAGAUAUCAAGUGGAACACCAGUGGCGAAGGCGAGUCCCUAGACAAUUCCUGACACUGAGGCACGAAAGCUAGGGGAGCAAACAGG
RNAcentral lists this ribosomal RNA (253 nucleotides) under uncultured bacterium. RNAcentral describes it as "partial 16S ribosomal RNA". It matches the Rfam family "Bacterial small subunit ribosomal RNA", at positions 524 to 776 of the family's 1533-position model. The record is from RNAcentral.